GAUGAAGAACGCAGCGAAAUGCGAUAAGUAGUGUGAAUUGCAGAAUUUAGUGAAUCAUCGAAUCUUUGAACGCACAUUGCGCCCUUUGGUAUUCCUUAGGGCAUGCCUGUUCGAGCGUCAUCUACACCCUCAAGCACAGCUUGGUGAUGGGCGCCUGUCCCGCCCCCCACGGGGGCGCGGACUCGCCUCAAAUGCAUUGGCGGCCGGCGACCUGGCUUCGAGCGCAGCAGAAACGCGUACUCGGGGACCGGGCGCCCGCUCCCAGAAGCCAACCCACCCAGUUUGACCUCGGAUCAGGUAGGGAUACCAGCUGAACUUAAGCAUAUCAAUAAGCGGAGGA
This 340-nucleotide unclassified non-coding RNA is filed under the name soil metagenome. Its description in RNAcentral is "partial contains 5.8S ribosomal RNA, internal transcribed spacer 2, and large subunit ribosomal RNA". The stretch from base 1 to 120 matches the Rfam family "5.8S ribosomal RNA", at positions 35 to 154 of the family's 154-position model. The record is from RNAcentral.